AUGAACGCUGGCGGCGUGCCUAAUACAUGCAAGUCGAGCGAACAGACGAGGAGCUUGCUCCUCUGACGUUAGCGGCGGACGGGUGAGUAACACGUGGAUAACCUACCUAUAAGACUGGGAUAACUUCGGGAAACCGGAGCUAAUACCGGAUAAUAUAUUGAACCGCAUGGUUCAAUAGUGAAAGACGGUUUUGCUGUCACUUAUAGAUGGAUCCGCGCCGCCUUAGCUAGUUGGUAAGGUAACGGCUUACCAAGGCGACGAUGCGGAGCCGACCUGAGAGGGUGAUCGGCCACACUGGGACUGAGACACGGGCCAGACUCCUACGGGAGGCAGCAGUAGGGAAUCUUGCGCAAUGGGCGAAAGCCUGACGGAGCAACGCCGCGUGAGUGAUGAGGGUCUUCGGAUCGUAAAACUCUGUUAUUAGGGAAGAACAAAUGUGUAAGUAACUAUGCACGUCUUGACGGUACCUAAUCAGAAAGCCACGGCUAACUACGUG
This 496-nucleotide ribosomal RNA is filed under the name uncultured bacterium. RNAcentral describes it as "partial 16S ribosomal RNA". It matches the Rfam family "Bacterial small subunit ribosomal RNA", at positions 29 to 507 of the family's 1533-position model. The record is from RNAcentral.